RNAcentral lists this long non-coding RNA (18507 nucleotides) under Marmota monax (woodchuck). The record is from RNAcentral. Lineage: Eukaryota; Metazoa; Chordata; Mammalia; Rodentia; Sciuridae.
GUUUCACAGCAGCAGCCUCCCUGGUGUCCUUGGCUUGGGCUCUAGCCUCCUACCAGAAGGCCCUGCGGGACUCUCGAGAUGACAAGAAGCCCAUCAGCUACAUGGCGGUCAUCAUCCAGUUCUGCUGGCACUUCUUCACGAUCGCGGCCAGGGUCAUCACCUUCGCGCUCUUCGCCUCGGUGUUCCAGCUGUACUUUGGGAUCUUCAUCGUCCUUCACUGGUGCAUCAUGACCUUCUGGAUCGUCCACUGUGAGACAGAAUUCUGUAUCACCAAAUGGGAGGAGAUUGUGUUUGACAUGGUGGUGGGGAUCAUCUAUAUCUUCAGCUGGUUCAACGUCAAGGAAGGCAGGACACGCUGCCGGCUGUUCAUUUACUAUUUUGUGAUCCUUUUGGAAAACACAGCCUUGAGCGCCCUCUGGUACCUGUACAAGGCUCCGCAGAUCGCAGACGCCUUCGCCAUCCCGGCGCUGUGCGUGGUGUUCAGCAGCUUCUUAACCGGCGUUGUUUUCAUGCUGAUGUACUAUGCCUUCUUUCACCCCAACGGGCCCCGGUUCGGGCAGUCACCAAGUUGUGCUUGUGAGGACCCCGUGGCCGCCUUCUCUCUGCCUCCAGAAGUGGCCACGAGCACCCUCCGGUCCAUCUCCAACAACCGCAGCGUGGCCAGUGACCGCGAUCAGAAAUUCGCAGAGCGGGAUGGCUGUGUACCUGUCUUUCAGGUGAGACCGACGGCCCCGUCCACCCCAUCGUCUCGCCCACCACGGAUUGAAGAAUCCGUCAUAAAAAUUGACCUGUUCAGAAAUAGGUACCCAGCCUGGGAGAGACACGUGUUGGACCGAAGCCUACGGAAGGCCAUUUUAGCCUUUGAAUGUUCCCCGUCUCCUCCUAGGCUGCAGUAUAAAGAUGAUGCCCUUAUUCAGGAGCGGUUGGAAUACGAGACCACUUUAUAAAACGAAAGAACUUGCAGGAGCCACAACAUCCAGAUGAAGGGGUGACAGCAGGGCUGUGGCAAUCGUGACACUUCAUCUUACAGUAGGGGCAACAAGCUGCAAUGUUCUUAGUCUGCCCCGUCCUCCUGUUAUGGUUUGAUCCUCCAUCAGCUAACUGCCUGCUGUUGGUCUUCUUUCCAACCAGCAGCACCAGAGUCUCUUAAUCCACCUGAAGGAGAGCAACACCAGCUCAGUAUGACUGUGGCUACCAAAUUCCUCCUGCACUGUCUUGGAGCACCAUCCACCAGAGGGGACUAUUAUUAUGGAAGAGUUUGCCUCCAAUCAAUAGGGUGUUUUAAUGGAGUUAACUGAUUUUUGCAUAAAAAUAUAUUCAGUCACACACACUAACACACACACACACACACACACACACACACCAGUCCUCUGUCAAAAUAGCUUAGGUGAUUUUCUCGAUGCAAAGCUCUGAUUCCUGAAGAAAUAUAAAAACAAAGAGAGAGAAUAUAUCCCUCAAGACUUCAGAAAAAAAAGUAGUACUGCUUAGAAAAGAAUUCAUAAAUCAUUUUCUCAUUUGAAAACCAAUAUCAUGUGUGGAAAAAAAAAAGCCUACUCAAUAGACAGCAAACUCAAGUGUGUUUACACAUGUAUUAGCGUUGAUGGAAUGGUUCAUUUUAUACACAUUUCAGGAUUUGUUUUUUUAAUUUUAAAUUUUCAGUUGAGAACAUCUUUAUGACAGGAAUCCUAUGCAGCACAUGUAUGGCUUUCGACAAGACCAAGGAGCUCGAUAACUUCGUGAUGUAAAUUAAAUGAUAAUCAUCUUUCAGUAUUCAAUUGCAAAAGUUUAAAACAUACACCAAUAGGAAGUGGGGGGAAAAGAGACAGAAUAAAGAGUCUGAUUCCCGGGCAUGUGCAGCUCACAUUGGAAUGUAAGCGCAGGGCCUCCAGAGAGGAGUGGGCUGCAAGUGCAUCUGUUUCCGGAUACAGAAUGAGUGGCUCGCUGUAUGCAUGUGGGCAGGUGUGAUUCCAGAAGACACUAUGCCUCAUCUUUCUAGUGCCAAACUCCAUCCAACCACAGGACUUGACACGGAAGCCCCAGUGACUGAGAAUAAGUGAUGUGAGCCCCCUGAAAGCAGACAAGAGAAUGAACAAGUUCUCCACUGUGUACAGACUUACCCACCUCCCAUCCAAGCUCAAAGUGAUAUCUCUUUUAGAGGCUUUGGGACAAUUUUAGUAAGUAUGAGCAUACCAAUGCGGUGAAUAUGCUAUAAGGAAACCCUUCUGAACUGAUUGAGGGCUUAUCACUCUAUCCAGCUAAGAUUUGUAUUUGAAUCAUCUGUAAAGUCGCACUCUUACAACAAGCUUCUGGGUUUUAAAUACCUCCGUACAGCAAGUAAACGUUCCCUGCUUUCUGUUCUCAGUGUCCUUGGUCAUGGUGCUUUUCGUUGCAUUAAAAGUGCCGGUCAAACUUUGAUAGUAUUUUUUUAUAGUUGGUGCAGAGUGGAAUAACUCAUGGAUUAUUUCAAUAUUUUUGUAAUAAAAACAUAUAGGGUAUACAUAUAGGCAUCAUCACUUUUUUUAUAGACCUGGAAUUAUUUAAAAUACUUUAAGCAUCAUAAUCACUUGGGAUGUCAGAAAUUGGUCCACAAAUUCAUCAGCCUGCCUCGGCAGAUUGAAAACACUUGUCUCUUGCAAGAUCUGCAAGUUGGUGCCCCCAGGAACCUGGCCAGGGGUGCUAUAAGAAUAUCAGGUGAAGAGAGAAACAGCCUAACUAGAAAGGGCUUGUCAAGACUGGCCAAUGUUUCCCAGGAAAUCAAAGAUGUAAAUGAUUAUUUUCAUCCAUUCAUUAAAAUAAACCUGACCACAGUGGAAGAUGUCUUAAACUUCUUUCCCUGGUUUUAUAUUAACCCAACUGAUAGAUUAAAGCUUAUUCAAGUCAUUAAAAAAGAAGGUAAAAAGUCAGAUUAAUGUAAUUAUUUACUUAUUUGGACUGUCCUAGUCUCUUAAAGUGGUCAAGUUCUAGAGCCACUGCCUGUAAUAAGUAUGUCAUCCACAAACUGCUGUCCCCAUGAGGACAUCCACAGGAAGUGACAGAGGGCUCAACCUAGGACUUCUUUUGGUACAAAGCCCCAAAUCAAUUUUUUUAAAGAUAAGACAAUUUUUACCAGUAGACGUAUUUCCUAGUACUCCAUGGCUUGAUCCUCCAAGCAAGAUUUCCACUAAACACAAUCAAAGCUAAUCAUUUUUUCGGGAUGUGGAAAGAUCACCUCGUCACUGGUAAAGCUCCAGGAGGACCCUCUUCUUGUCAGCACAUGGUGAAAAUAUUCCACCCCCAUUGUAGAAGGGGGGAAAAAAAGAUCAUUUUUGGCAAAUCCUUCACCUUUGUGCAGAAUCAUGAGUUAUUAGCUUCAUUAGUUCCAAGACAACUUUUAACUGAUGAUCUGUGGAAACGGAAUUUCUCAGUUGAACUAUACCUUGAUUCCACGAGUUAUAACAGAUGACAAUAUAAUAGUGUCAAGCAAACAAACACGACAGCCCCUUCACUCUUCUUAUCAUGUAAGUUCUAAGUUAUUUCUCAACUUGAUCCCUCACUUACCAUGUUAAGAUUUGAAACAAGGACUAUGUAAAUAAGAGAUAAUGUACUGUCCUUUAUCUUGGAGGUGAGAUUGGCAGUCAGGAGGGUGUGAGAAGUUUGAAUUUUUAAAUGAUUUCCCCAAUACUGUAAACGUUGUUAUUGGACAUUCUUGAAGACUGUGAUGUUUUAGUUAACAAUGAAUUCUUGCUAAGGAAAUGAUACAUCCUUCAUGUUAUAAAUUACAACUUUUCAGAAGAUUACAAGAACAGCAAAAAAAAAAAAAAAAAACUACUCCAGAGGUAAAUCAUGAUUUAAUCUUGCUUCUGUGAUUCAGAAAGCACACCACUGCCAUAAGACAACUUUUAUUAGUUUCUAGAGGCAUAGAUAACGGAGUUUUUAAAGUAUUGGGAUUUAAAGAGAUGUCAUCAAGGUGCAAGGGAACAAAAUUUAAUUUUUGUGUUUAAAUUUUAAUUAUUUUUCAGUCUGAUAUUAAACCCUUGCUGGAGAGUAACUGAAGAAUAAUCCAAGAGGGAUGAGCUAUGGUUAGCAUACAGAUGAAAAUAAUGGGAUUCUUUAUCGUCUAGUCUGAUUUCUGGACCUAAGUCCACUUCAAAUCCGUUGAGAGGAUGUUUCUCUUAUUAUUCACCUGUUUUGCAUAGGAUCAUGACAUUUUCUAAAGGAAAAAUACUAUAACUUUGUCUUUUACUUUCAAAUUAACAUUUUUAAAUGAAACUCUAUAUAUCCUAGCCAUGCCAAGACUUUUAAGUAUUUGCAUGAAAGAAAAAUAAAUUUUUUUCCAUGUAAGUCAAAUGUGAUUCUCCAAAGUGACUAUGUCCUUUAAAUCCUCUUCACACUUCCACAUUUUUCUACUUAACUGUGUGUUAUCUAGUUUCACAAUAUAACUUUAUAGACACUCAGUUCCUAUUCAUUUAUGAGGAAUACUACAAAUGAAAUAAAUUCUCUAAUUGAGUCAAGAUCAUGUGAUUCAAGUGUUAGCAAAAAUAAAAUACAAAGAUAAUCUGAAAAUAAAAGUAAUAUGAAGAAUUUAUGGUUAAUUCCUACAUGCCCUAUCUAUUUUGCUCUAGAAAUAAAUGAAGCGAGAGUGCUGACCAAUUAAAAGUGAAUGAGAAUAAUUUAAAUCUCAUUGACUUUUUAUUUUAUUUUAUUGAAUUUUUUAUUUUAAGAAAUAAAGGAUAUACUGCCCUUUAGUGCAUAUAAAAUGGUAUGCUACUGACACAUGAACUUUUAGAUAAGAAGCUUUUUCUUGCUGCCUUUUCCAAAUCAAGCAUACCUGUAAGACAGUAACGUACUUGUGAACUUUGGUUGGAAAUACCUACUCACAAUUCAGCACUUCUUAGCCUAAAUGAACUUUCUCACUCCUUAAAGAUCCCAUCUUUGAAGCAGCUGAAUAGAAUAGUUUUUUGUUUUCAAAGUUUCUUUCCCUGAAAAUAUUGAAUUGAGCAGAGGAAACCUCUGAUGUCCUUACCAGGAUUGUGUAAGGUUACGCAUUUACUUUCAAACGUACCAAAUGUCAUUGAGUGGAGACACGUUCUGACAUAAUGUUUAGACAAGAACAUAGAGACUUUUUUCCCUAAUGAACCAUUUUCUAGACUAAAUAUAUGCUCCCUUGCAUUCUCAACACAUCUUUGCCAUUAGCCAUUAUAGUUUCUAUAUAAAGCUUGGAUGAGAUGCCUGCAUUUUUAUGUUUCUAAGGGAAAAUUUCUUAAAGCCUUUGUAAAAAUAGCUCAGGCUGUCUUUCAGAAUAUAGCUCAGAGGAUAGUGAAACACAGGGUGACAGCACAGCAAGACUGAGGUCGUCACUCAUAUAACUUCAGUGAUGGAUGCAAAUCAAUUCACAUUCCUUUAUCUUAGCAAUCCAAUGUCACUUUUGAAAAUAAUCAAAAUCCUGCCAACUUGUGACUCAUAACAUUCCUUCUGCCUGGUGCUUGAUCAUUUCCAAAUGGCCAAGGAUGGGUCAUUUUACUCUAGUUCCAAUUUCGGAGUCAACCUCCCUUAGACCAGGCUGUGAAAUGAUCUGAACAUUUGGAUGACAUCUCUUCUUCUCACUUGGGCACCUGUACGGCAGAAUUAGGUCACUGCAAAGGUCUCUGUUGACAUAUGUUUUGUCCAACUGCUGUCCUGAAAAAUGGGCACAUGGAAAGACUCUCCAUGUGUGUCCAAGAUUGACAGUCUCAACAGGACCAUUACUCAUGCCAAAGUAAAACUGUGGACUGUGGGUGGAAUUGUAUAAAAACAUGAAAAGGCAUUUAAUUUUGCUAAUUGUAGCAAUUAGCCUAGCUGGCAAGCAUCCUGCCCCCACAACAGAAAGCCAAGAGGAAGUAGUGACAAAUAGACAUGUGUCCACAGACACAAGGGGUUCAGAAACUCUCCCCAGAGUGGCUGAGGUGUGGUAUGGUCUCACCAUCCAUCUGAAGCUCUUUCUCUAGAUUCCACAUGGAAAAAACUACCAGUCCUUUUUGAUUUGUAUGCAGUGAUCUAGCCCAGAAAUGCAAAACUCAGCAAACCUGGUGGCCUAGGUUCCACUAAAUAAAGGAUGCCAUAAUAUCCCUGGCAUGUUAAAAUGUUUCCAUGUUAUACUGACAUAAACUAAGCCAGAGACAAAAUAACUCAAUUGAAUUUGUGCUCUUAUUAUUUUGUUUCAUGGUAGAUUUUCUGGCAGUUCCAAUUUCCAUACUGAUGGUUGUUGUAGUUAAAAUUUGGAAUCUCCCCCCAAAACUCACAUGUUAGGCAAUGCAAUAAUGUUUAGAGGUGAAAAAAAAAUGGAUUAUAGGAGCUCUGAUGUCUUUAAAGAAUUCAUCCAUUUGAUGGAUUAACAAUUUGAAUGAACUACUGGGUGGUAAUGGUAGGCACGUGGGUCAUGGCUGGGGGAAAUAGGUCACUGGGGGCAUGGCCUUGGAGACUAUAUCUAUCCCGGCCCCUGACUCACAACUUCCGUGAUCUGAGCUGUUUUCCUCCACCAGGCCUUCCUUCCAUGAUGUUCUACAUCACCUUAGGCCCAAAGGAAUGGAGCUAUCUGUCAGGGACUGAAUUAUCUAACAUUGUGAGCCAAAAUAAACUUUUUCUCCUCUAAGUUACUCUUAUCAGGUGUUUCUCUCUCUCUCUCUCUCUCUCUCUCUCUCUCACACACACACACUCACACACACACACACACACACACACACACGAGUAAUAUAAUCAUUUCCCAUUACUAUGAUUGAAAGUUUAUUAUGUGCCCAGCGCUGUGCUAAAGAUUCUUAUCACAGCCAUCUGGGGUUAAACAUUUCCAGAUGAUGAAACUUCAGUUCAGAGAUGUAAACAACUUACCAAAGGCUCUAGAGCUAGGCAACAGUAGAGCUGAGAAUGGAGCCUAAUGUUUAACAACUGAGAGUCCUUCUAAAAGACCAACGAGUCUUCCAAAAUCUACUCCUGGUAUGCCAAAUCUUCCAAGUGAAGAGAAUCGUGUUCUGAUGAUCAAAUUUUUCCUAGAAAUUUUUAUUUUAAAGUCAAAGAUAUCUUUCAAAAUGAAAAGUUAAAAAAAAGCUAAUGAUGAGAAAAUGGGAGUCUUAUCAUUUAUAACUGAAUCUUUCUUUAAUUCGUAGUAGGCAAAUCAAUGCUGUUCUUCUACCCCCAGACAAUGGUGCCCUCAUCAUAGUGCUACUCUGCAUUAAGUUAAGUGAUAAAUACAAUUUAACUUAGUACUUCUUCUCUUGUAUGAUUCUGUUAUCCAGUUAGGCAGAAUGAAAAAUAACUAAACCCCACUAUUUACUUUGACAUGCUAAAGAGAGAGAAAGAGAGGGAAAGGGGGAGGAAAGAAAAGAGAAAAGAGAAAAGAAGGAUAGAAGGACAUAGAGCUAAAAAAAAGUCUCUGAAGUGGCAUCAUUUUUAUAUUAUAAGGUAAUUCUGUUCCUGCAAUCCUUUUCCCUAAAUUUCAUUUGCUAUCUUGAAGGUCACAAAAUUUUAUAUUUAUGAUGAUUAUAAAACCACUAGCUGAAACCAUCAUAUAAUUCUAGGAACAUUAUCUUAGAUUAAAGGGUUAAAUGAAAGAAUAUAGCAAAUACUUAUCCUAUAGUUAUUGAAUUAUAACUGAUGUGUUCUCUCCCUUCUCACUAAAUGUAGCAUCCCUGAAGUUCAGCAAGAUGUUCCAGUUGACAGCAAUGAUGUCAUUGCACACACGUGUGUGUGUGUGUGCUGUUUGAAUUGAUUCUUUCGAAGUAGCCAAUAAUAAACCCAAAACUUUCUCAACAGUCUGAAUGUAAUGCAUUAAAAUAUGAGUAGAUUGAUUCAAUCAAAUCUUUAGGAGCUUAUGUCAAAUUAGAAGUCACUAAUGUUUAAAGGAGAUAGCCUCUAAAAGAAAUCUAAACGUUACUUCAUGACUCUUAUUUUAUAGGAGAGGCAACCAAGACCCAACGAGAUCAGGUAAUUUUUGUAAUCAUUAUUACAUACUCUACACACUUAUUGAUUCACUCUGUCAUUCAUCCAACAAGCAUGACUUCUAUUAGUAAGACUGCCAGGCAAUCCACAGAAGGAAUUCUGCAUUUAGUUACUUAUAAUACAGUUAGGAGCAGCUGAAGCAGCUUUAUGACUUCAACUUUAACUCUUUUUCUCCAGCAUGCUGCUACUUCUCUUUCCAAUAUCUAUGUUUAAUUCUAUAUUAAAACAGUGAGGAAAUAUAAGCUUUUCCAAGGCUAUCCUGUAAACCUCACAAUGAAUCAUUCCCACACACAAUGACAAACAGAAGGUAAGAAUUUAAGUGCAAAGAUAAAUUAACAUUAGAUGGCUGCCAAUAAACAGAAAAGCCAUUUAAUAACUUGUUUUUAUGGCUCUCCAACAGUAAAUGUUUUUUAAUCAAAGUCACAAAGCGACAACACCAACAAAAUGGAAAUACUCUCUUGGCACGGAGUAUUUGUCUUAAAACCAUCAGCUCUGAAUAAACUUUGGAGAUAGGCCUGAGAAUUCCUUUCAAGAAAAGUCAUAAAAUUAGGCAGCCUCUUUAGUAUUGGAAGUUUUCCAAUAGGUUGCUUCUUUGAUUUUCAAGAAAGCAGAAUUCAUUAGCACAUACAGUAUUUCUCCAGCAUACUAGUUAUUUAGGAAUAACAAUUUUGGAGAUGAAUCUCAGCUGUUAUUACUUGGGAGAUCAUGCUAAAGUGAUAACCUUCUGUGCUCACAGCACUCUGCCCACUUAUAUGUCAGAAGACAGGGCAGCCAGCCCCACGCCUUGGGGACAUCACAGUAGCAUUGUGUCCAAUCCACAUCACUCCUGCAAUGCUACCGUACCAGGUGACUCUCAGAAAUAGAAGGAGUGUAUUAUUAAAGAUCAUUAUUAAAUUGAAUAACUAAUUUUCUUUAAAUGAAAUAAUUCUGGUUAGGUGAUUUUUAAGACUGUUGGUCUCUAUGAAGUACACAGAAAGAGAGAAGAGAGAAUAUUAACUUUUACAAGUCCAGAAUCCUUGAGAAAAUUUUUGGUGAAGCUCAUUUAGCAUUGACAAAAAAAAAAAAAAAAAAAGAGUUCAUGUAGAAAUGUUAAUACAUCAGGACCCCGAUUUCUAGGUUCCAGCCACCAUUAUCACAUUCAUUACCACGGUUAUCACUGUUUUCACCACUCACAGCAUGAGAGGAAGCCCGUAGUAACUGAUUAAGAUGUUUGCAGAGCAAAGAUCAUAUCUAAUAUCAAAUCAGCAUCAAAUUAAUUAAUCAAAAUAAUAAGCAAAUAUUACCAGCACAGUGCCAACACAAAAUUUCCUCUUGUGCUAUUAUUGAAGCCUGUCACCUACUUUGUUAUUAGAAUUUCAGAAAAUGUAAGGUUUUGUGUUUUUAUUAUACUUCCGUCUACCAAAUUAAGCAGGUUGGCCCUCUCCUUUCUCUUGUGCUUAAUUUGCAUUAAAAUGGAAUUAAUCAAAUUCUUACUUCAAGUGCUGAAAAUAGGAACAAAUGGAGAUGUUGUGUUUAAACUAAUCUAAUUUAACUGUUGUAGUGGCAUUCUGGCAUGGAGUUGUAUCCAAUCAACACUUAAAUAUUUCAAAUUAAUUCAUUUAUCAGUAAGUUCGAAAACACCUCUGAGUGGGUUGAAAAUAAAUUUCAGUUUUAUAUCAUUGUAAGAAAUUCUUGUUUAGAUUACAAACCAGCAGAACACAUCUUAAUACACACCAGCAUUUCAAUCCAUUGUGAUUCUGGAAAAUGAGCACUUGUAUUUGAAUGUGUUGGGCACUGCUAUGUUCGCAGAGCAAUUAAACUUUGACCUGUGGUUCUCUAUGGAGCCCCCUGUGAUUUCUUAUUCUAUUCAAAUUGGGAGAAAUAGAGCAUGAGCCUGUAACCAAAGGAGACCUGUCAGCUAGUAAAAGAACUGUCAUUUUAUAUCCUGCUUUCAAAGAGCUAAAAUAUUCGGCUUUCCUUAUUAGCCUUUCUAAUGCAUUGUACAUAAAAAGGAAGUGGAUCUCCAAAGUAUGUUUUAAAAGCCUGAGGUGAAACAUUUUCCUUAUUCUGAAUCAAAGGCAUGGCAUUCUGUGAAAGGAUAUAAAACUCUGCUCCUUUAAGAAAGGGGAAGGGUGGAAGUGAGCCCUUGGUGCUCAGAAAUAGUCUCCCCUGUCCCAAAGCUGCAUGUUGCUGAUGCUAUCGAUUCCCUUCUUUUUCUUACAGAAACAUCUUGGAACUUGUCAAGUUUUACUGGCGGUGAUUUGCAGUUAAUUAAUUCAACAGACACUUUAAUCUUGCAAAUUCUUGACUUGUAAUAUUGUAAUCAAGCUAUUGCAAGGGAACAGUAAUCAGUUAGUGAAAAAGGAGCCCUUGGUUCUGCGUCCCGUGCCAUGACAGUGCCCAGGCCCGAAGAGAAAGACCUCUGUGCUGCAGAGCUAUGAAAUCAUGCUACGUGGUUCCUCAACACUGAUGCUAUGAAUAUUCAGCCACCUCCUUUGUUUUUGCCAGUAAGCACUACUUUGAAAAACAAGUUCACGGAUUCCUGGGGGCUUGUGUAGCUCAGAGAAUGGGUAUGGGUCACCGAAGACUUGCUUCCAAUGGAUUCAAAUCCAUGUGUUUGGAAAUGGAAAAAAAAAAAGUCACUGUCAUCUGUUUAAUAAUUAAUCUGUCUGAGUAGAGUUGCUGCUUUUAUUUCAUUUAUUGAGACUAUCAUUGUCAGCAUUGUAAUAACCGAUUUGUAAAGCCUGAGUUUAUAAUUCAGUUUAGAGGUCAAAUCUGCAUGGUUGUAACUAUUGAAUAAUUUGAUGCUUGCCUUCCUGGGUGAUGACAUUUCCAGUUCCAAAUGGAAAUCCAUUUCUAUGUGGACUUGACUGCCCGGUUGCUUCUUGGAUCCUGCAAAAGCUUGCUUAUUAGCUUAAAAAAGAUCGCCCACUGAUAUUCCCAAUGCCUACAUUUUCACUUAGAAGUAAAAAAAGGUGAUCUCAUAAUUAAAAAUCAUGGUUCUUUUCCACUUCUCUUUUCUCAAAGAAAGGUCAAAAUGAAGUUACCAGAAAUUAUCAGAUCAUACUUUCAGAGUAUGUAAGAGAGUCAGGCAUCCAUGUGUUCCUAUAGUUUUUAGUCUAAAGAAUUGGUAUCAGUUUUAGGAGUUAACUCCAGACAAAUGAACAGAAGUCAUCAGAUGCAUCCAAUAAGUAGUCUAGAAGUAAAAAUGUGAAGAGGAAGAAGUAGGAUCAUUUUUCUUCUGUCUGAAAGAUACUGCUCUUUCCUAAGAGAGGACAUAACCAUCUUGGUGGUUAUGUCCAAGAUAUUCCCAGAGCUACUGAUUUUCCCAGUUACGGACACUAACAUCAUGGCAAGUGAAUUUUCAGAACUAAUUCUUUAUCAUAGGCAAAAAAAAAAAGGAAUGGUAGGAAAGUGGCCUAAUGUGACUGAUUUCUGAUUGCAAGGCUAUGACAACUAGCAAGUUAAAGAAAACGUUCAUCUCCUGAAUCCCACAGCCACCUUAGACACAAAAAUAUCCUUUAAUGUAUAAUAAGUUGGUGAACUGUGGUGAUCUAGGAGCAACAAACAGUUCUUUUCUGCAGGUUCAUGGGAAACAGUGACUUCAGCAGAGCUGAGUGUCAGGACAGAGCGUUUCUAUUAAUGAAGAGGCCCAAGUACAGUGAUUGAAAAGAAAACCUGUCAGUGGUCCGUCAAAAAAUACUUACCUUUUUAGAGCAGAAAUUCAGAGUAGUUACUGCCAUUCUAUAACUAUGACAACAGACUUCUCCCCUUGGAAAAGUCAGGGUCUGAUUAAUGUGGGGAGAUGGAGGAUAUGUUGGUAGCUUCAUAUGUAAGAUUGAGUUUCCCUCAUGAUGAUUCUCCUUGAUCACUGGUUCCCAUACUGCUCUGCACACCAAGAGUGGCUGGUGGAUUAUAAGAAAAGACAUUUUAAGGUAUUGUAAUUAAUUCUUGCUUGUCCAAUGCAAACCAUAAACCUAUCCAUCCUUUUAACAGCAAUGAGAUUCAGGGUUACCAUGGCCUUAGUCAACGUCCCAUUGUAAAUAUACCAUGACAUCACAACAGCCUCCAUAUCCGAACCCACUCGACCAGGUUUACCAGUAUUAGACUCUUUUAAAUGUAGUUUGGAUCUUGAUUCUACCAAUCACCUAGUCUGUGUAUUUAUUCUCAAAUUGGAAAAAAUAAUUCUUAGGAGGAUGAUUUUCAAAAUAAUGGAAACAAAAAUAAAUAAAUAAAUAGAUGGACAGUUAAGCAAUUUUUCAACAUAGACAAAACCACUGGGCCAUUGAUAGCCCUAAAGCUCUGAUUUUUCCUCAUGACUAACUUUCUUUUCAUUUGAGGGCUUUUGAUGUUUGAAUUUUCCAAGUGAUUGCUGAACCAUCUUUACUAAACCAAAGUAGACACUACAGAGUUAUUAAAAAAUAAAGACUGUCCACAUGAAUGCAAACAUCCCAAUGAAAAGCGGAGAAGCAGGUCACUCAAGUGGUAAAUUUGGCCUUCAUGAUAGCAAGCAUCUGGAUACUAUACAGAAGUGUCCAGAUGUUGGAAGCAUACAGUUUUCUGUCUGGUUGUCUGGUGUUGUCUAGAAAGACAAACUGCUCAGGUAUUAUAGGUACUGGACUUUCUUGUGCAGUAAUCGAUUGCUGGUGAUAUUCUGCUACUAAAAGUCUCUUUGUCGUGCAAAGAGAAAUAAAUAAAGCAGAGCCAAUCUUAUGUGAUUUUUAUUUACUUUCAGCAAGUGCAUGAAGGGAAGAGGUUUGGCAGGCUCUGUCCUGGGCACUGCACACAUGACUGUAGCACGGAGCUCCAUAGGAGCAGCAGUUCUAGAAACUCUUUCCAGGCAAGGAAAGGAACUGUUCAGCCUUUACUACCUUCUGUAAUUUUAUUAUUGCAUUUCUGCUGUUGGUAAAAUCUUCAUCAUUCACAGUCCACUUGACAGAAUGGUUCAAGGGAAAAAUAAAUCUGAUUAGUUUUUAUUCUUCAAAUAGGAGUUUUAACCUUAAGCAUUCCAUAUUAUAGCAUAAGCCCCCCAAACACUGCUUGAUGCAAUUAUUUCAUGGUGAAUUCUAUGGUGUCACCAGAUAAAAAGCUGUUUUUCCUAAAUCGAAAAAAAUACCUAACUUUUGGGGUUUGGUUUGUUGAUAUCAUUCCAAUUUCCUAAUAUUAAUUUGUUAUCAUGAAAAUCAGGAAUAUUCGUGUUUUCCUUGUGGUCAUUGUUAGGAUUCCCCAGAAAACAGAAAAUCUUGACUUUGAAAGGAAAUUUACCUUCUAGGAAAAAAAGUUUGAAAUGUUCAUACCAACUCUUGUAUUAAUGAUGUUUUCUUCAUAUUUCUUCUUUGUAAUGUUAGAAAGUUGAUUGUUUCUUCUGAUUUGGCUCUGGGUUGGUGAACAUGUCCAAUCUGAAGCUUGGCAGAAAAACAGACAAGCUAUUCAUUCCUUCUUUCAGGUCCCUGGGAUUGGACCCAGGGGUGCUCUAUCACUGAGCUAUAUCCCCAGUCCUUUUUUGGGGGGAGGGGGACAAGAUCUCAUUAAAUUGCCCAAACUGACCUUGAACUUGUGAUCUUCCGGCCUCAGUUUCCUGAGUCACUAGAAUUAUAGGUGUAUGCCAUCAUAUACCUGCCUGAGACCAGUUUCCUUUUAAGAAUGCUUAGUUGCAAAACUUGCUAGGAUGCACUGACUGUGUGCAGGCACACAGAGCCCUGAAAGGUAUAUAGAGAUCUUACAGAGAUUUUCAAUGACAAUCUAAAUGGUCUGAAGGUUCUUACAUAAUGUUUCCAUUGUGUCAAAUUCUAUAUUCAGUGUCAAUUAGGAAGAAAUGCAUGGGGUAGUUGGGCAUUUGGGCACAUACCAAUAAUCCCAGUGAAUCAGGAGACAGCGAGGCUGGAGGAUCACAAGUCUGAGGCCAGUCUGGACAACUUGGCAAGACCUUGUCUCAAAUUAAAAACUAAAAGGGCUAGGAAUGUAGCUUGGUGGUCCCCUGGGCUCAAUCCCCAGUAUCAAAAAAAAAAAAAAAGAAGAAGAAGAAAAAGAAGAACGUCGUGCAGUAUUCAUUGAAGCUCCUUGCUGGUCCCUCUGUCCCUCAGAUGCAGAAGUUUCCCUGACAUCAAAUGGAUAUUCUACUGAGUAGCAAGGGCCCCCAGCUAUGUGGUGUCAUUGCCCUCUGCUAAUUGUUUUGUUCCCCCACUUUGGAGGUGAGGUCAUGGUUGUCCUUCAGAACCAGUGGACGUGUGCACCAACCCAAUCUGGUUUUCCUUUUCUUUUCUGGUAUAAUUUUUACUUCACUAUAUCCUUUCCCUAGUCUUCUCACAUUCAUGUGAUUGAUAGGAUGUUUAGCUGAUUUCACAACAAAAAGGUGACAAUUAGCAAUCACAAAAAUAAUGUUUUAGUAAGUCAUCUUUGAUUAUGUGAUAAUUGGUAUGAAAUUUAUGGUUUAGUAGAAAACCAAAACCCCUGUGUUAAAUAUAAUGACUCUUAAAAAUAUUCAAUAUAGUUCAUGAAAUAAUACCCUUUUAUGCUAUGAGAUAAGUUCCAUUCUGGACGUAGCAACCUGAGGGGUUAUGGUCCAGUGUGGGGGAAAAAAAGAAUUAGAAAUCCACUCAUGUGUGCAUCCUAGUAGCUGGUCCAUGUGUUCAGCCUCAGAAAUUAACUCAGCCUCAUUUUUCCCAUAUCUGAAAGAAAGAGAAUAUUUAUUUACCUACCUCAUAGGGGUGUUGUGAAGACUAACGAAGAGGGUUGGUGAAGCGCUUUGGGGUUAGAAAGCACUGUCUUUCUUGCUAAAGAACAGACACAUAAAGGAGAGCUGUGUGCAGCAGGAAGGCUGGGCUGAGGAGCCGGUGAUGGAGUCCUCUGAGGAUCACAGCAGCAAUAACUAACCAAGCCAAGAAUACAAUCAUUCAUCAUCACUUGAUAUAAGUAAAAGUUUCCUUUGAAGUUCCCUGUCAAAUUUUUAAACAAUUAUCAGCAUUUUAUUGUGAAAAGUAACUUCUCUCAUACAGACAUUGAGACUCUUGGUAUAUAUGGACCAUUUUCCUGUAAGCCAAACUGGAUUUUACUAAACGUUUAUUUAAUGCAUUUUGAAAAUGUGGCUCCUUUUGAUGCCUAAGGAUUGAGUGUGCAUGAUCCCAAACUGCAUUUUUCAGAACACGGGUGUGAGACCCAGUUGACUCCUAAUGAUGCUGAGUGGUCUGAAAUCCACUCCUAGGGAAGAAGAUUCUUUAAUGAUGUGCUUGAGAUUAGAUUCUGGGUCAUUAACAUUGUGUAUCUUUCUUACUUCUAAGAUGACACAUCUCUCCCUUUAUAACCCAUGGAGAAACGAAUAGCUUUGUUUUCUGUUUGGAACUUCUGAAUUGAUUCAUUUUCACAUCAAUAUACAUAUUUUAAAUAUUACAGAGAAGUGUAAUACAGGGAUUUAGCAAUACAGGAAUAUCCAUGUGCUUACUCAUGUACAGAUGUGAAUUCUUAUAAAGGACAAAGGAGAUGGUCGAAAAACAACCUCAGAGAAUAUCCUGUACAACUCCCCCAAAGAAAUGUGUUUUCUCUUAAAUGAUUAACCUGAUUAGAACUAAUGCUUAAAAAAAACAUGAUUUGGAAUUAUAAAUAUUUUCAUUUUUUGAGUUAUGGAGGCAAAAUUAUGAAGUAGGAACUCACCCAUAAAACAGUAUCUAACAAUGCAGAUAAUGUUUUCAUGAUAUCACUUCAUGAAGCAAAGUUCUGGAUAAAUAUCAACAUUGUAGCCUUUUUAAAUUAUUAGAUUCCUUUCAAAAAUGUUUGCAUGUUGUGAAAAAUAUGGAAUCAGGCUUUAGAAAGUUUACCCUGAAUAGAGAGUUUUAAAUCACGUUGUGCUUGGAGCUGAUGUAACACUCACAUUCAAUAUAAUCUUUUCUGAUUCUAAAAUAUAGCUGCCAAUGGUACAUCAAAGUCCUAAAAUUUCAAAUUGAUUAGACAUUUCUAAUGCAUGGGAUUAAGAUUUCUGAAGCAUAAAUUAAACCUAGGCAAUUUUCUAAUUCAUUUUGAAACAUUUGUACUGCCACACCAAACUUUAGAUAAGUAUUGUUUUGAAAGACCAGUAAUAUGAGUAUUGUGAUUCAAAAAUAUAAUUUGAACAUUGCUGGCUCCCCACCCCCAGUUCCUAGUGUCAAUAUUUUUCCAACUCAAAAUGCAUCAGAAUAUCCUUUUUUGAUAGAAAGGAAAUGUCUGUUUGUUUUUAUUUGGUUUUGUACAAGAAAACUAAAGUUGACUAUUUGGACUAGAUUCAGGGGGCUGGAGGAGAGAAAAGGCAAUUUUGCAGGUGGGUUAGAAGAGAGGAAGGCAGUGGGAACAAUUUGUCCCAAGUAGACUUUAUCAUAAAGGUACAAAGUAGGAUCUAAAUAUGUUUAGAGCUGGACAGGUCUUUGAAAUGAUAGAGUCUAGAUUAUUCAUCAAACAUAAAAACAAGUGCUGACAACAUAUUAUUUAGGUAUAAGUGAUACAUCUAAUUACUGAGGGAGAAAACUUGAAUCUUUUUAAGGACCACAAGGAACUUUCCAGUGCUCUCCCUGAAAAUUUGAGACUCUUAGAAAAACUAGUUUUUAGCAAAGAUUUAUGUAAUUAUACUGCUAUCGUCAACUAGCCAUUCUAUAAACAUCACACCUGUGAUGUUUUGUAAAGCUAGCUGUCAACUUUUCUGACUACUUCUGGUUAACAUUCUUUUCUAUAAACGGAUUAUUAAAAAAUAAUAAAAACACCUGCAAAUUCUCUUACACUCAAAAGAAAUGUCUCCCUUCUUAUUUAUAGCUAACCAUGUCACGGGGCCCAAUAUUAUCACAGAACUCCUUUCAUAUUUAUAUGAUCUAGGAUAAAUGGUGAAUCUUUUGGUCAAUUGUAGGUCUCACCUGAAAUCUUCAUUUGGAAAAGGGACAAAUUGAAAAGGGAUCACAGUUAUCCUGAGGUGAGAACUUGACCUCUACUAAAUAAUGUCUGCUUUUCUUCUCGGUAGCCAGACAGUUCAGUAGCGUCCAGAAUGAUAAAGGGAAGGAUAUGCAAAUAUGUUUUUCCAUUCUCAGAAGGAAGAGAGCAACCAAUGAGCCAGAAGUUUUCUCCCUCCUUCAAACCACUGAAUUUAGGGUUUAAGACAAAAAUUGCUAAAGUGAAAAUGAAAUCAUUCUUCCUAUUAAAUCUUUCCUCAGUUUUUACUAAUUUAGUUUUACAGUUAGAAAUGGAGUUUCCAGUGAUAACAAUUAACACCAUUUCAUUUGAUGGCUUGAAUGCAGAAAUGGUGAAAGUAUGAGAUGACUGUGUAUGAAAAGCUCAUCUGUACUCCAUCCAUUCUGGAUGCAGGUAUGGAAAUAAAUACUACUACUGUUCCUAUUCUGGUUUAACUACUAAUCCAAUGGAAAAACAAACAUUUUGUUCACCAUUAAACCAUUGCAUAAUAUAAAACCUGCUUCCCAAUGUCAAGGAUUUGUUUGGUAUGGACAUUUGCUCUUCAUCCUCCAGUUUCUUUUAAGUAAAAUAAGUUUCACAUCUAACUACCUCAGCUACUGUUGUUUUACUUAAAAACAUGAAAUCCUGCACUUUGUAAUUGACAAAGUCUUUUCAUUUAAAAUUUCAAAAGGAUACUCGGUGCAAAGCAAUUUUCACAAAUUUGUAUAUGACGUAAACAACCCAACCUCAGGAGGUUGUAGUUCAUUUUACUUGUUUCUAUUCAGAGUAAAAUCUUCAUUUCCACUCAACACCAAGAGAGGCUGCUCUGUAUUUGCUUAAUUUGCCUUAAACAUUUUGUGCUCCUUUCUCCGUUCAAUUUUUGGUUUUUGUCGUUGUUAUUGUUGUUGUUGUUGUUGUUGUUGUCGUCGUCGUCGUCGUCACUUUGAAUCUAUCUCUGAAAAAAAAAAUGUAACAGGUGGCAGAUGAACAGCAAGCCGAUGAGAAUGGACCACUGAUUUCUCAGUUCCCUUUUGUCCACUUGUCUGCAUGACAUUCUGAUUGUGCAAAAUUGCCAUUCCUGUGCUUCUGUCUUCAUUACAGAAAUACAGUGUGUGUGUGUGUAGGGAAUGGUGAAGAAACUUCCCCUAGAGCGAGCACAGUGCCUGGACCCAAAGGAAAACCUUGGAGGUUCCUUGUGCUUUUUACUUUGUAAACAUUGUACAAAUGUAUUUGGAAUUUUAUUUGAAAAGAUGAACUAAACAAGUUAUGAAUUUGUUUUCCUUCCUGUAAAUAUAUAUAUUCCCAAUUCCAUGUAUCUGAACAUUCCUUUAGCAUUGGGCUCAUAAGCGUGUCUUUAUCUGCUGGAGGCCGCUGUCCCCAGGCAGUGACCCCAAGUGCUCUAGUUCAAAGCACAGUGCGUGGAGUAUGUGAUGUACUACAGUACCAUAGUUAUUUUGGUCUGUUAAGUAAGUUGCAAUUUGUGAUGAAACGAAGUGGAAAGUAGUACUUCAUAAAAAAAAUAAUAAAUUUCCUUGGUUAUCUGAUUUUUCUUGUAAAACUUUAAAAAAAGAAAAAAACUUGAAAUUUUAUAUAUUUGGAUUUUGUAGAUUUUUUUUAUUUUAUUGCAACACAAGGUACCAAAAUCAUUAAAUAAAGUACACUGUGGUCAUUUUAACAGAA